CUCACAGAUCCAACAACAUCAACCCCACCUGGCUGCCAGGAGCAGGGCCAGCCCACAGCAGCCACGGAGCCCAUGGGAGAAGUCAGAGGAGGAAGCAGAGGCAGGGCACAGGUCCUGCAGGGGAUGAACACACCAAAUGUCUCAGCUUUUCAUUCUGAUGAUCUCCAGCUCAUCUUGCCACUGGCUCGAAAUGCCCACGUGCAGGAGAAACAUCUUCAUCCUCCUCCAGCUUUCUCCCUGGCCAUGUAAUACACACACUUUAAUCUGAAGGAAGCCCAAGUCUCAGGACCAUUUCCAUGCUUGGUCCAAGUGGUCAAGCAAAAGAUUCAAGGACUUACAGUCUGUUUCAUCCAGAAGAGGAAAUUGAUGAGGGCAUCAGAUAACUUAUGCACCUUCUCAAGGAAAGGCAAAUUCUCCUUUCCUACUAUUUUAGGGGAAUUGAAAAACAAAUCUCAAAUCUGAAAGGACCUCCCAGGGCCUUUCCUUGGGUCAGACUCACUUUGCACAGCUAGGCAGUGCUGGUACAACAAUCACUGACUGCCUGUGAUGUCUGUGUGUUACCUGAACACUCCAGCUCUUCACAGAAUUGAAAUGUAAGUCCUCUGUUCUGGCCAGUGGGGUUCCAGUUGCUCACAUCUCUGUUUGAACAGGGAUGAAGCUCCUUCCUGCCUUUGGAGAUGACCAUUAACUCAGCUACCUGGUUUAAGGUGCUCUAGAACUUCUUGCAGAAAAGGACAAUGAUCUUUCCCACCAUUUUGACCUGAUCUGCAGCAACAUCUGUGGUGCAUGUCCCCAGAGCCACAUGGCAAGGGAAUGGCAGUCCCUGGUUCUGUAACUUGCAGCCAGCUUGCAAGACAGAAUUGAGCAGCUGGGCUCUCUACUUCUUAAAAAAUGUCACCUGAUUCUAGGUAACAGGGAGAUCAUUCUGGAUCUAAACCACAUAUUUGUUGUUUUCCUGAGGAAUAGCUGAACAAUUUGAACUUGAGACAAAGGUUCUUGCUGAAAUCCCAUUUCAAAAGCUGCAAGAGUGUUCUUAUUCCUUUGCUGCUCCUCACACAAACUGUACUUCCAUCUACUUGCCCUUCAGUGCCUGGCAGCUUUUGCUGCAUUUAGCCCAGCAAGACACAGGUGCAACUACAGCAGAUGGUGGCAAACUUCAUCUAACAGAGGCAACUUUCAGGGCACCUUCUUCAGGAAAAGCAGAUUUUUGCUCAAGAAAUAGAAUAUGAAAGGGUCCAGAUACCAAGGGUUAUGAAUCUAGCAAUAACAUAGCUCUGCUGAUAAUGACAAUGUUUUGAAUAAUUUUUAUUUGAAUAGAUCUGACUGCAUUACCAAUAUCUAUGGUGUUGCUUGGUAACUAUUUCCUGAUACCCAGAGACUGAAAAACAAUUUUUCAAAACUAAAUUACAAUUCUGAUAUUAAAUUUCACAUUUUAGUGGUUUCAGUCUCUUCUGUAUGGCUGUUUAGCCACAGCAAUAUUGCUGGUAAUAUUUUUUUAUAUUAUCCACUUUUUUUUCUUUUUUUUUUUUUACUUUCUUUCCUUUCCCAAAGGUGCCAAGUUAGGUAACAAGUAAAUAUUUCAUACUCAUUCCUUGGAAAUAUGUUGAUAUUUUAAGAAGAGUCAGUAAAACUGUAAAGUGAGAAUACAGGUGAUCUCAGACUCAAGUUGCAUAAUUCAGGAUGAGUUUCAAAUUUCAAGUAGCAAGCAAUUCUAAAUUAUCAGUGGGUGGGAAUAAAAUUACCACAUAAAGCAGUAAAGCAAAUGGUAUUAAAGUGUUACAUGGAAAAUAGGUGAAUAUGUUUGAAUAUUAGUCACACUUCUCUGUAUUUGUUUUGCUGUUGGUGCAGUUCCAGCAUUCACUUAUUUUCCAGAAGCUGCAUUGUGUGGUCAUGAAGAUAAAGGAAAAUAAUAAUAAUAAUAACAACAACAAUAACAAAUGUAGUACUGUUGAUGGGAUCAUAAUUCAGUAAUGAAUAAAAUACCACAAUGCUCUACUAAAUUACUUGUCAAAAUUUACCUCAGAAAAUAAAAAGGCUAAUUAAAAAGAGGAAGGAACAAACCCCACUAUGCUGCAGUUUCAAAAGUGUAUCUGCUGAUUUCCUCAUGUUGCAAAUUUUAGUUACAAAGCCAUGCCUUGCCCAUUUUUUGAGGAUUAACAAAUUCACUUCUGCCUUCUCUGCUAAGGAGGACAGCACUACAGAAGGUGGUAAGAUGCUUGUAAAUGCCAGGGUUCUGUUGCUUUGUGGAUGCUUCUGUGACUAAAGGAAUGUAGCAGUUGUGUGAGACGACCCCUAAUAUCUCUUUUGCUCCCUGACAAUGCCAGAUUGUGCAGGGAGCUGUGCUUGAAAAUUAAAUUCCCACCUCCCCAAAUAUAUGCACAGUGACUUUCUGGAACAUGAUUUUAACAACAAGUACCCACACUUUGUUCAUUUGCUUUCUCAGUGGCCUCUUUUGACUGAAGGCUUGAAGCUGGCAGCUCAGAACUGUAGAAGGUCAGAAGAAAGCAAAUAACAUUUGUUUUACAGCUAUUGGUACUAGCAAAAGUUUAGCUGUGGGCAAGUGAUUGCAUCAAUUCUACUCCAUAGCUCUUACAAAAGAAAAUAGAUCUUGAGAUCACUUUGGAACACCCUUUCUUUGACUUUGAGGAAACAGGAAAAUCUGCAUGGUAGAUGACUGAGGAGUUUGAUUCCUCCAAAAGUCCUCAGCCACUGAAUGCACUUCCUAAGAAAUCCUCAAUUACAGCAAACUAGACAAUUUGGAGAGGACUAGGCAUUUCCAUCAAGGCUGUAAAAUGUAGAACACCUGUAGAAAAAGUUGCAACCUAAAACUCCCCCAGUUCAUUGCCAGGUUAAACUGACUUCUGACAUUUAAAAAAAAAAAAACUGAAGGUUUUUUUGUCCCCAGGGCCCAACUGUGUCCUAAGUGCCACAUUCCUAUGGAGGCUAUGGAACCUUCAGCACUGGAAAUCUUGAAAAAAACAGAUCAGACAGAGCUGUCUGGAGUGACAUCUGCAGGCAAGCUUGCUGUAAGACAAAGGAACCCAAAAGCCCUGGUCUCACUCCUGUCAUUAGAUUUCUAAUAUUAUUAAUAUCACUUAGUAAUACUUGCACUAAAAGAUUUGUUCAUUUUAUUGCAAUUAUGGGAAGCACUUAAGCCAAGGCCAGCUACCUUCCUGAAGGAAAGUUAUAUUUCACAUAUUUUGGGCUCCAGAAGAGACUCAUUAGGAGAUUUUUUGGUCUAUGCUACAGAAAAGGACAAGCCCCACAGCUGCAAUGACACCAAGUAAUUCCAGAUUCACAGAAUAUAUCACAGCAGUUGUUUAUUCAUUGUUUAAGUACAGAUAUACUUAAUAUUGCCCAAAACCAGACACCACGGGUGUGGCACAUCCUCAGUCCAUCCCCUCUCACCCAGGAUUAAGGCAUCUGUGGUUCCCUCAAAAGGCUGUGGUGUGGUUUGUUCAAUCACACAGGAAAUAACUGGGACAAUAAGAUGUCUCAGGUCUAGUCUCCAGGGUACUACCAUCCUAAAAUACUACAAAAAUGUAUGAACUCCAUGCCAAGAAACAACAGUUGAGAAAUUGUGAGUUCUCUUCUUCGGCUUGGGGUGGUGGGGUGAAAUUCCUAGGGGUCAAAUCAACAUUUUUUCUAAAAAACACAAAGUUAUCCUGAGGUUAUAUAACUCUGUCUGGUGGAGCUUGUUAAACAGCUUUAUCCUGGAGUGGGCCAUGCUGCUGAAAACUUAAAAAAUUAUUUCCUUUUUGGUAAGAAAAAGAGCAUAUUGUGGGUGGCUUGGUGCUUCAUAGGUGUGAUAAGCUAAGAACUCAAUACUCCUCCCAGGUUCUGGGAAUUUAACAUCUCAAGGCCUCAGUCCUUGCAGAACCAGAAAUCACGGUUGUUACUUUGGUGAUCUUUUACAAUUAGACAUUUUCCUCGUGUGAUUUUUAUGCUUUUGAUCACUAAUAUUGCACUGUUUAUUUCUCUGCUUUUAUUAUUGUCAAGGCUGAAACAAUGUGUGGGAGAGAAAUGUGCUCAGAAAAGACAGACUCUAGUUUUAUUCCUCUGCUCACACUGCAAAAUACAGCACACAACAAAUCUGCAAGCAAAUCUGGAUUUGUGACUUAUGUGGGCCAUUAAUAUUUAAUGCAUGCAGCAUCUACUCUUUUGCAGGGAAGAACUAUGGCUCCAGAGGUGCAAAUGCUCUUUCUUUGUGAGCAGCCUUGCCCACACAAGUAAAUCAAAUAAGUAAAUUCACAUGCACAAGACUUUGCCACCUGGGACCAGGAUGAUUGUGUACAGCUCAACUCGAAAGUUUCUAAUUCUCCUUUUCUUUAUGGCAAACACCUUUAAAGAUUUUCAAACUAUUUAUAUUAAUAAUUGAGAAAGCUGAGUGUCUGAGCCUGCCUGAAUUGCAGUUGUAGUAUAAUUUUGAAGGAGAGCUAGGGAUCUUUACUAUGAACAAACAAAAAUAUCCAGCUUUGUUUUAUUUAGGUAUUUGAAUGAUGACCUUUUGAAGUAUAUUGAAAUGAAAGAAAGAAGCAUUCUCCAAAGAUUUUGUACAGAAUAAAACAAGCAUUGCUAACUUCUGUCUCAUUUUCAGGUCUUAUAGGCCUGUCUUGUUUUACAUGUACCUUUGCUAAAUAAAAAUGCUCACUAUAUUCUUGUAAAACAUAGUUAAAUGGGAAGAUUUCACUCUAGUAACCACUGAAAGACCAUAAAACCAUACCAUAAAACCAUAAAGUACCAUAAAACAUAAAUAUAUUCACUAGACUAUACCUUUUACUGACUAAUAAGGAAAAUAUUUCUAACUUUCUUAGGGAGAAUAAUAUUAAUGCUUUUUAAAAUUAUCCUUUCUGCUGGUUAAGUGUGGUUUUUGCUUGGCUUUAAGUAUCAAACUUCUCCAAGAACUCUCCAUCCUGUACAAAAUUAGAAUCCCCUAGUUACUGAGAGUGAAAGGGAGGAGGUAUUUGACCUUCUGUGGCCCCCAAACAAGGGAUCUAAAUUUAUGGUUUUACCUGGAUUUUCUAUGUACAUUUUUUGCCUUUCAAGAGCAGCCUCUUCCUCCGGGUGAUUUGUUGGAAUUGUGGCUGAGAGUCAAGAUGAUACUGAUAAAGAAAACAGCACUGCAGAACAAUCAAACCCUGCUCCAGAUGCCCCCAUGGCAUUUUUGGUGGGCAGUGUUUUUCUCAGUGGGGCUCUACUGUGUGUGCAUGGAUACUUCCAAAGCUCAGCACAGAAAUGCCAGGGGUUUUCUGAGCUUUAGAAAAGUAGCUUUUAACAAAGCAUUUGCAGCUAAAGGUAGGUUACUGAAAUCAGAAAAGGGUGACCAACAUCUUGAUGACCAUCUGGUUUUAAUGAUUGCAGGAAGUGGCACAGCAACAGGAAUUCUCCUGCAAUGCUUCAUUUAUGGGAUCAGACUUUUCUGACCAAAAAAAACCAACAAACUUAGUUUAGGGAAAUUAUUUUAUAGCUCAUCUACUUCUGUUUCCCAAACUGUGCCUAAUGAAAAGGAAGAUGACAAUUAUUCCCGUUCUGAAAACUGGAAUUUGUAACACUCAGAGUCUUUUUCCCUUCACAAAUCUACACUGAGACAUUGAGAACUGGGCUACUGAUUCAUGUACACUACUUGAGACAACACUUAAAACCAUAGGUAUUUCAGGCUUGGUAGCAGUAAAAAAAAAACUAACCUCUGAAUCACCAAUAGCUGAAAGUAGUUCUUUGUGUACAUGCAGAGACAAAAUAGAUUUAGAGUGGAAACUUUUUUGACAAGUAUGAGUCUAAUGGUAUUUGAAGUAGAUGAGAUAUUGAUUCCCAAAAAUAAAUAAAUACAUUCAAAUGCCCAACCAUUUUAAACUUCAAAACUAUCUGCAAAGUUAACAAUGUCACACUUAGAUAACAAAAGAAGUCCUUUCUAUACAAUUGCCAUGAAAAAGGAUUUCUGUCACUUUUCCUUUAUGAGGACAGCAGCAUGCACGGCUGGAGAAAAAGUGCACAACCUCAGGAGUGGUUCCUGGACUUUGUGGUCCAGGUCAAGUGAAUUUCAUAAACAAAGAUGUUAAAAAAUCUGCAGUCAGUGUCCAGACUGGCUACUGAAAUAGCAACAACAGCAAAAAAAAACCCCAACCCUCCAGCAAAUCUCACUCAGGCUGGAGUUUCAACCCUUUCUCUGGACUGUUCCUGGGAGCUGAAUUCUGUUAAUUUGGUAGCACACACGUGAUGAGAGCAAUGAGGAGACGUUUUCAGACUGACAGCAGGUCUGAGCGGUGCUGCACGCUCCGUGUUCUCCAGCUGGGAAUCAGUUCCAGCCCACAAACCACAAACCUGUGUUCAAGCCCCAAGCUGCUGUCCUUUCCCUUUCAGCUGCAUUUUGUGCCUCACUCCAAGCUCCAUGUUCUCAGGCUGUAAAGCUCAAGAGGAGCUGUUGGCACCUGGCUGCCCUGGCUCGUGGCAGCAGCACUUUUAUUAGCAUUUUUAUUAUUCC
Long non-coding RNA from Passer domesticus (house sparrow), 6478 nucleotides. RefSeq lists it as uncharacterized. The transcript has 3 exons. Lineage: Eukaryota; Metazoa; Chordata; Aves; Passeriformes; Passeridae. The record is from RefSeq and is a predicted model, not a curated record.